RNAcentral lists this ribosomal RNA (404 nucleotides) under uncultured bacterium. Its description in RNAcentral is "bacterial SSU rRNA". It matches the Rfam family "Bacterial small subunit ribosomal RNA", at positions 356 to 773 of the family's 1533-position model. The record is from RNAcentral.
GGGGAAUAUUGCACAAUGGGGGAAACCCUGAUGCAGCAACGCCGCGUGAAGGAAGACGGUUUUCGGAUUGUAAACUUCUAUCAAUAGGGACGAAAGAAAUGACGGUACCUAAAUAAGAAGCCCCGGCUAACUACGUGCCAGCAGCCGCGGUAAUACGUAGGGGGCAAGCGUUAUCCGGAAUUACUGGGUGUAAAGGGUGAGUAGGCGGCAUGGCAAGUAAGAUGUGAAAGCCCGAGGCUUAACCUCGGGAUUGCAUUUUAAACUGCUAAGCUAGAGUACAGGAGAGGAAAGCGGAAUUCCUAGUGUAGCGGUGAAAUGCGUAGAUAUUAGGAAGAACACCAGUGGCGAAGGCGGCUUUCUGGACUGGAAACUGACGCUGAGGCACGAAAGCGUGGGGAGCGAAC